This 418-nucleotide ribosomal RNA is filed under the name uncultured Fastidiosipila sp. Its description in RNAcentral is "bacterial SSU rRNA". It matches the Rfam family "Bacterial small subunit ribosomal RNA", at positions 964 to 1382 of the family's 1533-position model. Lineage: Bacteria; Bacillati; Bacillota; Clostridia; Eubacteriales; Oscillospiraceae. The record is from RNAcentral.
AAGAACCUUACCAGGAUUUGACAGUCUCCUGACGACGGUAGAGAUAUCGGUUUCCCUUCGGGGCAGGAAGACAGGUGGUGCAUGGGUUGUCGUCAGCUCGUGUCGUGAGAUGUUGGGUUAAGUCCCGCAACGAGCGCAACCCCUAUUGCCAGUUACCAUCAUUAAGUUGGGGACUCUGGCGAGACUGCCGUGGAUAACACGGAGGAAGGUGGGACGACGUCAAAUCAUCAUGCCCCUUAUGUCCUGGGCUACACACGUACUACAAUGGCAACAACAAAGAGCAGCAAGUCCGCGAGGCCAAGCCGAAAUCUCUAAAUGUUGUCCCAGUUCGGAUUGCAGGCUGAAACUCGCCUGCAUGAAGUCGGAAUUGCUAGUAAUGGCAGGUCAGCAUACUGCCGUGAAUACGUUCCCGGGCCUU